GUAGUACUCCCUCCGUUCCAAAUUACUUGUCGUUGAUAUGGAUGUAUCUAAAACUAAAAUACAUCUAAAUACAUCCAUACCUGCGACAAGUAAUUCGGAACGGAGGGAGUACGUG
Non-coding RNA from Triticum aestivum (bread wheat), 115 nucleotides. The record is from Rfam. NCBI's taxonomy places the organism in Eukaryota, Viridiplantae, Streptophyta, Magnoliopsida, Poales, Poaceae.